Molecule: ribosomal RNA, 243 nt
Filed under: uncultured bacterium
Lineage: Bacteria
Description: partial 16S ribosomal RNA
Rfam family: Bacterial small subunit ribosomal RNA
Source: RNAcentral
GCAAGCGUUGUUCGGAAUUACUGGGCGUAAAGGGCUCGUAGGUGGCCAACUAAGUCAGACGUGAAAUCCCCAGGCUCAACUUGGGAACUGCGUCUGAUACUGGAUGGCUUGAAUUCGGGAGAGGGGUGCAGAAUUCCAGGUGUAGCGGUGAAAUGCGUAGAUAUCUGGAGGAAUACCGGUGGCGAAGGCGGCAUCCUGGACCGAAAUUGACACUGAGGAGCGAAAGCCAGGGGAGCAAACGGG